RNAcentral lists this ribosomal RNA (2371 nucleotides) under Staphylococcus aureus. RNAcentral's name for it is "bacterial LSU rRNA". The stretch from base 830 to 2371 matches the Rfam family "Bacterial large subunit ribosomal RNA". The record is from RNAcentral. Lineage: Bacteria; Bacillati; Bacillota; Bacilli; Caryophanales; Staphylococcaceae.
UAUAAUCUGUUUAUCUUAUUACUUCAUAAAAAAAAGCACUUCCCAAAAAUGGAAAGUGCAAGUAGUGAGCCAUAGAGGAUUCGAACCUCUGACCCUCUGAUUAAAAGUCAGAUGCUCUACCAACUGAGCUAAUGGCUCUAAUGGCUGGGCUAGCUGGAUUCGAACCAACGAGUGACGGAGUCAAAGUCCGUUGCCUUACCGCUUGGCUAUAGCCCAAUAUAUAGAUGGUGGAGGGGGGCAGAUUCGAACUGCCGAACCCGAAGGAGCGGAUUUACAGUCCGCCGCGUUUAGCCACUUCGCUACCCCUCCAGCUUAUUCAUAUAAUUUAAUAAUCAAAAUGGUGGAGAAUGACGGGUUCGAACCGCCGACCCUCUGCUUGUAAGGCAGAUGCUCUCCCAGCUGAGCUAAUUCUCCAAAAUAAUGACUCCUACGGGACUCGAACCCGUGUUACCGCCGUGAAAGGGCGGUGUCUUAACCGCUUGACCAAGGAGCCAUGGCUCCACAGGUAGGACUCGAACCUACGACCGAUCGGUUAACAGCCGAUAGCUCUACCACUGAGCUACUGUGGAUUAAUAUUAUGCCUGGCAACGUUCUACUCUAGCGGAACGUAAGUUCGACUACCAUCGACGCUAAGGAGCUUAACUUCUGUGUUCGGCAUGGGAACAGGUGUGACCUCCUUGCUAUAGUCACCAGACAUAUGAAUGUAAAUUAUACAUUCAAAACUAGAUAGUAAGUAAAAGUGAUUUUGCUUCGCAAAACAUUUAUUUUGAUUAAGUCUUCGAUCGAUUAGUAUUCGUCAGCUCCACAUGUCACCAUGCUUCCACCUCGAACCUAUUAACCUCAUCAUCUUUGAGGGAUCUUAUAACCGAAGUUGGGAAAUCUCAUCUUGAGGGGGGCUUCAUGCUUAGAUGCUUUCAGCACUUAUCCCGUCCACCGAUUGACUAAGGUUUCCAGAGGAAGGCUCGUCCGCUCUGGGUUAGUCGGGUCCUAAGCUGAGGCCGACAGGCGUAGGCGAUGGAUAACAGGUUGAUAUUCCUGUACCACCUAUAAUCGUUUUAAUCGAUGGGGGGACGCAGUAGGAUAGGCGAAGCGUGCGAUUGGAUUGCACGUCUAAGCAGUAAGGCUGAGUAUUAGGCAAAUCCGGUACUCGUUAAGGCUGAGCUGUGAUGGGGAGAAGACAUUGUGUCUUCGAGUCGUUGAUUUCACACUGCCGAGAAAAGCCUCUAGAUAGAAAAUAGGUGCCCGUACCGCAAACCGACACAGGUAGUCAAGAUGAGAAUUCUAAGGUGAGCGAGCGAACUCUCGUUAAGGAACUCGGCAAAAUGACCCCGUAACUUCGGGAGAAGGGGUGCUCUUUAGGGUUAACGCCCAGAAGAGCCGCAGUGAAUAGGCCCAAGCGACUGUUUAUCAAAAACACAGGUCUCUGCUAAACCGUAAGGUGAUGUAUAGGGGCUGACGCCUGCCCGGUGCUGGAAGGUUAAGAGGAGUGGUUAGCUUCUGCGAAGCUACGAAUCGAAGCCCCAGUAAACGGCGGCCGUAACUAUAACGGUCCUAAGGUAGCGAAAUUCCUUGUCGGGUAAGUUCCGACCCGCACGAAAGGCGUAACGAUUUGGGCACUGUCUCAACGAGAGACUCGGUGAAAUCAUAGUACCUGUGAAGAUGCAGGUUACCCGCGACAGGACGGAAAGACCCCGUGGAGCUUUACUGUAGCCUGAUAUUGAAAUUCGGCACAGCUUGUACAGGAUAGGUAGGAGCCUUUGAAACGUGAGCGCUAGCUUACGUGGAGGCGCUGGUGGGAUACUACCCUAGCUGUGUUGGCUUUCUAACCCGCACCACUUAUCGUGGUGGGAGACAGUGUCAAGCGGGCAGUUUGACUGGGGCGGUCGCCUCCUAAAAGGUAACGGAGGCGCUCAAAGGUUCCCUCAGAAUGGUUGGAAAUCAUUCAUAGAGUGCAAAGGCAUAAGGGAGCUUGACUGCGAGACCUACAAGUCGAGCAGGGUCGAAAGACGGACUUAGUGAUCCGGUGGUUCCGCAUGGAAGGGCCAUCGCUCAACGGAUAAAAGCUACCCCGGGGAUAACAGGCUUAUCUCCCCCAAGAGUUCACAUCGACGGGGAGGUUUGGCACCUCGAUGUCGGCUCAUCGCAUCCUGGGGCUGUAGUCGGUCCCAAGGGUUGGGCUGUUCGCCCAUUAAAGCGGUACGCGAGCUGGGUUCAGAACCCAGCUCGCGUACCGCUUUAAUGGGCGAACAGCCCAACCCUUGGGACCGACUACAGCCCCAGGAUGCGAUGAGCCGCAUUGAGACCGCAAGGUCUCUUUUUUUUAUGUCUAAAACGUCAAAAUAAAAAGUAAACACAAAGAAAAAUGGCUUGG